CGGAGAAAUUCCAAUCGAACCUGGAGAUAGCUGGUUCUCUCCGAAAUAGCUUUAGGGCUAGCCUCAAGUGAUGAUUAUUGGAGGUAGAGCACUGUUUGGACGAGGGGCCCCUCUCGGGUUACCGAAUUCAGACAAACUCCGAAUGCCAAUUAAUUUAACUUGGGAGUCAGAACAUGGGUGAUAAGGUCCGUGUUCGAAAGGGAAACAGCCCAGACCACCAGCUAAGGUCCCAAAAUAUAUGUUAAGUGGAAAAGGAUGUGGCGUUGCCCAGACAACUAGGAUGUUGGCUUAGAAGCAGCCAUCAUUUAAAGAGUGCGUAAUAGCUCACUAGUCGAGUGACACUGCGCCGAAAAUGUACCGGGGCUAAACAUAUUACCGAAGCUGUGGAUUGUCCUUUGGACAAUGGUAGGAGAGCGUUCUAAGGGCGUUGAAGCAUGAUCGUAAGGACAUGUGGAGCGCUUAGAAGUGAGAAUGCCGGUGUGAGUAGCGAAAGACGGGUGAGAAUCCCGUCCACCGAUUGACUAAGGUUUCCAGAGGAAGGCUCGUCCGCUCUGGGUUAGUCGGGUCCUAAGCUGAGGCCGACAGGCGUAGGCGAUGGAUAACAGGUUGAUAUUCCUGUACCACCUAUA
RNAcentral lists this ribosomal RNA (629 nucleotides) under Staphylococcus aureus. Its description in RNAcentral is "partial 23S ribosomal RNA". It matches the Rfam family "Bacterial large subunit ribosomal RNA", at positions 819 to 1452 of the family's 2925-position model. The record is from RNAcentral. Lineage: Bacteria; Bacillati; Bacillota; Bacilli; Caryophanales; Staphylococcaceae.